This 253-nucleotide ribosomal RNA is filed under the name uncultured bacterium. Its description in RNAcentral is "partial 16S ribosomal RNA". It matches the Rfam family "Bacterial small subunit ribosomal RNA", at positions 524 to 776 of the family's 1533-position model. The record is from RNAcentral.
UACAUAGGGUGCGAGCGUUAAUCGGAAUUACUGGGCGUAAAGCGCACGUAGUCGGCUUUGCAAGUCGGUUGUGAAAUCCCCGGGCUCAACCUGGGAACUGCAUCCGAGACUGCAUUGCUAGAGUAUGGGAGAGGAAAGCGGAAUUUCUGGUGUAGCAGUGAAAUGCGUAGAUAUCAGAAGGAACAUCAGUGGCGAAGGCGGCUUUCUGGACCAAUACUGACGAUCAGGUGCGAAAGCGUGGGGAGCAAACAGG